RNAcentral lists this ribosomal RNA (497 nucleotides) under uncultured bacterium. RNAcentral describes it as "partial 16S ribosomal RNA". It matches the Rfam family "Bacterial small subunit ribosomal RNA", at positions 28 to 507 of the family's 1533-position model. The record is from RNAcentral.
GAUGAACGCUGGCGGCGUGCCUAAUACAUGCAAGUCGAGCGAACAGACGAGGAUCUUGCUCCUCUGACGUUAGCGGCGGACGGGUGAGUAACACGUGGAUAACCUACCUAUAAGACUGGGAUAACUUCGGGAAACCGGAGCUAAUACCGGAUAAUAUAUUGAACCGCAUGGUUCAAUAGUGAAAGACGGUUUUGCUGUCACUUAUAGAUGGAUCCGCGCCGCAUUAGCUAGUUGGUAAGGUAACGGCUUACCAAGGCAACGAUGCGUAGCCGACCUGAGAGGGUGAUCGGCCACACUGGAACUGAGACACGGUCCAGACUCCUACGGGAGGCAGCAGUAGGGAAUCUUCCGCAAUGGGCGAAAGCUUGACGGAGCAACGCCGCGUGAGUGAUGAAGGUCUUCGGAUCGUAAAACUCUGUUAUUAGGGAAGAACAAAUGUGUAAGUAACUAUGCACGUCUUGACGGUACCUAAUCAGAAAGCAACGGCUAACUACGUG